UACGUAGGGGGCAAGCGUUGUCCGGAAUCAUUGGGCGUAAAGAGCGCGUAGGCGGCCCUGUAAGUCCGCUGUGAAAGUCAAGGGCUCAACCCUUGAAUGCCGGUGGAUACUGCAGGGCUAGAGUCCGGAAGAGGCGAGUGGAAUUCCUGGUGUAGCGGUGAAAUGCGCAGAUAUCAGGAAGAACACCUAUGGCGAAGGCAGCUCUCUGGGACGGUACUGACGCUGAGACGCGAAAGCGUGGGGAGCGAACAGG
This 253-nucleotide ribosomal RNA is filed under the name uncultured bacterium. RNAcentral describes it as "partial 16S ribosomal RNA". It matches the Rfam family "Bacterial small subunit ribosomal RNA", at positions 524 to 776 of the family's 1533-position model. The record is from RNAcentral.